Molecule: long non-coding RNA, 27384 nt
Filed under: Hordeum vulgare
Lineage: Eukaryota; Viridiplantae; Streptophyta; Magnoliopsida; Poales; Poaceae
Description: long non-coding RNA (HVUL_LNC020326)
Source: RNAcentral
GGCGGCCACUACGAUUUCGUCUCGGGCAAGUUCGACACAUGGGAGCUGUAAAUCAAUCAUCCCUCCCAUUGCUCAAAUCCCAAUAUAUAUACAUACGUAAGUAUAUCAAAGAUAUAUCGAUCCAUCGAUAUGGAUGCCAUGGAGUACCUACUCGUUAUUUUCCAGUUGUGAAUCCCCAACAGCCUGGUGUCAAUUUUUGUAAUAAGGGAUAGUAUUUUCCGGUAAUGAAUUAUAUUGUACUACUAUGUGAUGCAUAAUUUAAUCGUCAAAUGAUCGAAUACAUCGGAUAUUAUUUUAGUCAUAUUCAUCAUCAAGAGUUUACCUUCUGAUUUUUUGGCUUUGUCUUCCCUAUGGUGUGUGACACUGACUAAUUGUUUUUUCAGACAUUUUAUUGCCUCUCCAUUGCUACUAUUUUUAUCAGUAUUAUUUUAACCCAGUGAUUGAACUGUCAUCGGCUUUAUAUGCUACCCACCUUUUUCUACACAGCAUGUCCUUCUUCACCUUUAUUUAUACAAGGCAUUCUUUCAUUCCACUGCCAAGAUGACUAGAUGAGGAGAUUGGGAUUAUCCCUCUUUGUAUGUACCCAACUUGGAAUGAGAGACAUCAGGACAAGGCAAUAUGCAACUACUGUGCUGCCAAGAGAACAGUGCAAUAUUCCAUUUACCUUUAUCCUUUGCUCUUCUCCCUCCUUCAUCCCCUGCCGCCGCCAGCAAGUGCUAACGGGCAAAGACGGGUGGCAGAGCAGGGCGGUGGAGGCCCAAUCUGGCCGAUCCAGGUUUUUUUCUUUCGAAAAGGAGGCGUUGCCCCGGCCUCUGCAUCGAGUGAUGCAUACAACCAUUUUAUUGCGAAACGAAAUAGUCUGGAGCAAUACAAAAUAGCGAGAUAAUUCAAGAAACAAAAAAAGAUUUACAUGGCGCUCAGACCGCCGAAAAACCGACUAUAUCCCACGGAUAGGCUAGACUAAAGUCCAAUCCUAUUAGCAUGCCGCCAUCCAUAUCGGUUGAAGAUAAUCUGAGCUGCCAUCUCCCAUCGGACACACCCAGUAACCAAAGGCUCUCUGGUUUCCACAGGAGUGAGUAAGGACCACGUGCAGAUCAAGGCGGUAGCCCUGAAGAUGACCUGCAAAAAGUUAAUGUGAUGUAAUCUGUUAAAAACUAGAUCAUUUCUGCAGUUUCAUAUCGCCCACAACAUGGCACAAGUACCAAUCCGAAUUAGUUUGGCGUAAAAUACAUUAACCCCUUUUAGCCACGUCCCAAAUAACAUGUGAAUGCUAGUAGGUGGAGUAAUGUUGAAAGAAAUCUGUAAGGAGCGCCAUAAUAAUUUAGCCAUAAGGCAAUCCAGAAAGAGGUGUUUAAUCGUCUCAUGCGUCUGACAGAAGCUGCAUCUUUUAUUUCCUUUCCACUGUCUUUUAGCCAAGUUAUCCUUAGUUAAAACAACUCCCUUGUGAACAAACCACAUGAAGAUUUUUAUCUUAAGGGGAACCUUGACCUUCCAAAUAUGGAUGAACUUUGGAAUAGGCGACGUAUCAAUAAUAUGGUCGUACAUCGAUUUCACUAAGAAAGUACCAUUGGUAGUCAGCCUCCAACGAAUACUAUCUGGGAAAUCAGAAAGGGAAAUAUCCAUCAGUCUUCUGACUAGAUGUAACCAACUAACCCAUCUAUUUCCGAUCAAGGCUCUACGGAAUUGAAUGUUAAGAGGAGUGUGUCGUAACACUGCAGCAACGGAAGUCUGUUUUCGUUGUGCAAUAUUAUAUAGUUGCGGAUACUGUAGAGCCAAAGGAAGUGCGCCUAACUAAGUAUCUUCCCAGAAUCUAGUAAUUUCACCAUUACCAAUGACGAAUCUAGUUCUAUUAAAGAAAGCAGCCUUUGUCCUCAUUAAACCUUUCCAAAAAGGUGAAUCGGCCGGUCGCGCAGUGACUUGGGCUAAGGUUUUGUUCUGUAGAUACUUUUUCUUUAAAAUUUGUACCCACAUCCCUUGCGAUUCGACAAACAAUCUGAAUAGCCACUUGCUAAGCAGACAUCUGUUCUUGAGCUCUAGAUUUUCAAUCCCCAAACCUCCCUGAUCCUUGGGUCUACAAAUAAUAUCCCAUCUAGCCAGUCUAUAUUUAGUCUUGACCUCGUCGCUCUGCCAGAAAAAUCUAGAUCGAAAGAAAUCCAACCUUUUCCGCACCCCAACAGGCACUUGAAAAAAAAAUAGUAGAAACAUUGGCAUACUUGUCAACACUGAGUUAACAAGAACCAAUCGUCCUCCGUAGGAUAAUAGCUUGCCCUUCCAGCAGCUUAAUUUUUUCUCAAAACGAUCUUCGGUACAUCUCCACUCCUUGAUGGUCAACUUUCGGUAAUGAAUUGGGAUUCCUAAAUAUGAGAACGGUAACGUACCGCCCUCACAUCCAAAACUGAUCCAGGUGGGCCUUAAUGUUGGGAGCCGCCAAGGGGUGGGCGAGAUUGUGCCUUCACACUCAUUUCUUUGCAUGGUCGCCAUGCUGCAAGUCUUGAGCGAGGCAUCGUCAGGGUCUUGGAUGCAGAGGCGACAUCCUCGGUGGUGGCAGUCAUGGUGCUCGAUGAUUUGCUCGCGGGGCGGGUGUUGACUGGUUGCUAUGGCCAUGCCGAUAGUGUGGUAAAUAGUGUGCAACGGCAGGUGGCGGUGGUCCGGCGAGUAGUGGCUUGGUGUACUCCAUCUGGGAGACGAUGAGAGUUUGCUGAGGUGAAAACUCUAUCUGGCCUUGCCGUGUUGCGGUCAUCGGCGCCUAUGGGCGUUAUCUCGUUCUUCAAGGCAUCAUCGCAGUUCCUUUUCAUCCCCUUGCUGCUUCGGGAAAGUCCAAUCCUUGGACCGGGCGGUGGCAGCAGUCCGAUGUCAUACGGUUUCUGUAGGCGUCGGCUUCGAGAACCCACUUCAUCAUGCAUGGCUCUCUGUCCAGUGACUUGUUCAUGGUGGAUGGCCUCGGAGACUUCAAGUCAUGCCCUCUCAUCCUCUCUAUAGAUUGCUUGGAGAAGUAGGGUGCCAAGUAGCUGUUAUUAUCACCCUUGCAUAUUGCCUUGAGUGUGAUCAUGUGAUAUCGAGUAGUUUGUGUUGAGUUAUAUGUUAAUUAGGUCGUUGAUUUUUAUAUAAAGCAGGGCGCACACCUUUUUUAUGUAGAAACACCCGCAAUUUGUUUGCAAAGACCACCAUCUUACACGCAUGGUAGUGGGAUGACGGCUUAUUAGAUGGUGGUUUGUUAGUGUAUGUAUUAUGUGGUUAAAUCUCCGUGUCGGUUCUCAAGUGCCUUGUGAUGUCUUCUUUUUUGUAGAAGUAUGUCAUCUUUCUUUUUUAGGGUUGGCUUUGUCAUCAUCGGCUCAUGAGUGACCACUCUUUUAUAAAAGUGUAGCCUAGGAGUUCCGGGUUGGUCUUCAGAUUUUGCAGGCCCGGUGCAAAACUAGAUCCUAAUCCCUAGGGCCUUAACAUAAACAUAAAAAAAUAUGAGAAAAUAUGUUGAAUUGUCAGCCAAAGAAAAUUUGUUUUUUUUCUCUUAUAAAUCUCUAUCUUUACUAAUAUAUGCAAUUAAGAUUAACCUAAUUUUUGGAUCACAGUUUAGAAGUUGUUUAUUUUUUGUUUUGAGUUUAUCUUUACCACAGUAUUAGUGGUUGUUUGGUGGACUUACUGUCGCGAGACAUGUGGCCUCAGAUUCCUGUUUUUUUUUUCUGGAUCGAUGUUCUACAACUGUUGGAUUUGAAUAAUAAAUAAUCUAGGUCAUAUGAUAUCCUUCUUUAAUUUGAUGGCAAACACCCAAAUUAUGUUCUGUUCGAUAUUCAAAUUCAUCUUUAAUUUGAUGCUAGCCUUCGCGCCAUGGCACAAGGCCAUUCUAGUUGGCCCACGUCAACCCAAGUCCAUCCCAGCCAAUAUGACGGCAACAGGAGAAACCAAAACGACACUAUUUUUUUUUUGAACGGAGGCAAAAGAUUGGCCUCUUGCAUUAAUCAAGAAGAAAGUAGCAUAGAAUAGCGAUUACAUGGCCACACAGGCCAAGCUAAAAGACAGAAAUGACUUAUUCUCCUGGGAUAAUAAUCCCCAAAGACUUAGCGCCCGCUUUCGUCCAUAAUUUUGCGUCAGCCUUGAUGGUAGUCACCACAUGGGAAGGUAAGGAUGCCUUGUUCUGAAAAACCCUAACAUUCCUCUCGUUCCAGAUCGCCCAACAGACAAGCAUCAUCAUAGAUUUGAAAGUCUUUUUGUGUGUGCCGAUGUGACCGUGAGCAUCCCAACAAUUGUUCAUAGACGAAAGAUCAGCCCAAACAUUGGUCUGCGAUUGCAAAAACCAAAACGACGCUAGUUCGGCAGUUCCCCGACGUUGGGCCUGGAUGCUUGUUGAGCACGGGAUACCAUGAUCAGUCCAAACCAUCAGCGCCUCAAGCACAGAUAAAACAAACAAGAAAACCUAAUCUACACGGCAAACGAAGAUGAAAAGAACACCAACAGUGCUAAUUAACCCCCAUCGACAAGAAGGAUAUAUUUUUCUGUGGAAUUUUUUGAGACAAUCUUCUAGGGAAAUUAUAGAUUUGAGAAAAAGGGGAAUUGGUAGAUGUGCAUGAAAGUGAGUCCCACACAAUCUCGUAUGAUUAUGGCCGACAUUUAUAGCCAAUCUAACCACUCUAAUCUUUGAUACGGAUGUUAGACAAGUAACCAGUAGUUUUCUUAUUUUUGACAUAAACAAGUAACCAGUAGUUCGUAGCACUCACAAGCUUGUGUGUGUGUCUCGAGUUCAUGUCAGUUUAUUCUUCUAUACUUAACAUUUACUAGUUUGCAACGAAUCACACUUUAUCUGUCUCUCUAUUUAGUCUGUUGUUCACGGGCCUGUUGAUACGAAUGAAGCAGAUGGUAGGUAAGAUGACUGCCACAUGACCCCUUAGGAAUACCAAUGCCGAUGAUAUUGUUCUUUGUUACUCUUUUGUUAAAAAAAUAUCCCUCUUUUCAUAUCUUCGCAAUAAACGUCGCAGGCUAGGCUGGUGACAUGUCUUAAAAACAAUGAACAACAGGCAGCGAGGCUUGACCGUACCUUUCUUUUCAAACNNNNNNNNNNNNNNNNNNNNNNNNNNNNNNNNNNNNNNNNNNNNNNNNNNNNNNNNNNNNNNNNNNNNNNNNNNNNNNNNNNNNNNNNNNNNNNNNNNNNNNNNNNNNNNNNNNNNNNNNNNNNNNNNNNNNUACCUUUCUUUUCAAACCAAAAUAAUAAUAACCGAGCUUUGCAACCGAAAUUGCAUGCAACCUAUAAAAGCAUCUUUAAUAGGCGUGCUUCGACCGGCGUCCAAAAAACAAAUUUGCAGCGCGCGGCUAGCCAUUUUUAGCGUGCCAACAAGCGCCGGCUUCAGCGGCCGCAUCAUAUUUUAGCGCCCACACGACGCNNNNNNNNNNNNNNNNNNNNNNNNNNNNNNNNNNNNNNNNNNNNNNNNNNNNNNNNNNNNNNNNNNNNNNNNNNNNNNNNNNNNNNNNNNNNNNNNNNNNNNNNNNNNNNNNNNNNNNNNNNNNNNNNNNNNNNNNNNNNNNCGACGCUCCAGCAGACGCUGCAAAUUUAAACGCAAAACUAGUCCAACCCGUUAAAAAUAUAUGCAUAGAUUUCAUACAUAGUUCAUCAUAUAGAUAAUAAUAAACUAGUCCAACACGAUAAUAUAGAUAAUAAAACUAGUCCAACAAGAUAAUAAACUACAUAGAUAGAUAAAACUACUCCGAGUCGUCACUGUGGAUGCUGCCCGAGGUAGAUAGCCAUGCGUCCUCCCAACGUUCAUCGUCAGAAGUGAAGAUGGACGUUCCACCGUUGUUGACGACCACACACUGCGAUAUAGCGAGUAACUUGCGUUGACGCCUCUCCUGCCGCUCCUCGCGACGGCUUGCCUUCCUCUCCGCCUAGAAGGCGUUCUCGGCGGCGACGUCCUCCAGGUGGCGUCGGUGCCACUCCGCCAUGGCUCGCACGUCCUCCUCGGCGACGAGGAGCCGGCGGUGCCGCCGACGGUGCUCGUCACAGUCCUGGUCUGUUAUCAGACCAGGCGGAGGGGCGAGCUCCUGCGGCUGCUCGUGCGUGUAGAUGCUACUGUAACAAAAGACCUUCCAAUGGCGCCAGAAAUAGUCGUGUUGACGGCACCAGGAAUCCUUCUGCUACGGCUACGUCCUAAGGGACUUCCUAGGCAAAUAUGCAAAGGAUUUCCCCCGUGGUCUUGGAGCCUUGCGUUGGUGUUCCCUNNNNNNNNNNNNNNNNNNNNNNNNNNNNNNNNNNNNNNNNNNNNNNNNNNNNNNNNNNNNNNNNNNNNNNNNNNNNNNNNNNNNNNNNNNNNNNNNNNNNNNNNNNNNNNNNNNNNNNNNNNNNNNNNNNNNNNNNNNNNNNNNNNNNNNNNNNNNNNNNNNNNNNNNNNNNNNNNNNNNNNNNNNNNNNNNNNNNNNNNNNNNNNNNNNNNNNNNNNNNNNNNNNNNNNNNNNNNNNNNNNNNNNNNNNNNNNNNNNNNNNNNNNNNNNNNNNNNNNNNNNNNNNNNNNNNNNNNNNNNNNNNNNNNNNNNNNNNNNNNNNNNNNNNNNNNNNNNNNNNNNNNNNNNNNNNNNNNNNNNNNNNNNNNNNNNNNNNNNNNNNNNNNNNNNNNNNNNNNNNNNNNNNNNNNNNNNNNNNNNNNNNNNNNNNNNNNNNNNNNNNNNNCUGUCGAGCAAUUGAUAAAACCGCGCAAAGUCGUGACGUCAUCUAUGGCAAUGAUUAUAUCUAUAGGCAUCACGUCCAAAACAAGUAGACCGAUACUUUCUGCAUCUACUACUAUUACUCCACACGUCGACCGCUAUCCAGCAUGCAUCUAGUAUAUUAAGUCCAAAAGAACAGAGUAACGCCUUAAGCAAGAUGACAUGAUGUAGAUGGACAAUAUCAUAUCUACGACAGAACGCACCUUGUUACCCUUGAUGGCAACUACACGAUGUGUGCCUUGCUGCCCCUACUGUCACUGGGAAAGGUCACCACACGGUAAGAACCCAAAACCAAGCACUUCUCUCAUUGCAAGAAUCAUAGAUCUAGUUAGCCAAACAAAACCCAAGACUCGGAGAGACUUACAAGGAUAUCAAAUCAUGCAUAUAAGAAAUCAGCAAAGACUCAAAUAUAUAUCAUAGAUAAUCUGAUCACAAAUCAACAAUUCAUCGGAUCUCGACAAACACACCGCCAAAGAGGAUUACAUCGGAUAGAUCUCCAUGAAGAUCAUGGAGAACUUUGUAUUGAAGAUCCAAGAGAGAGAAGAAGCCAUCUAGCUACUAACUACGGACCCGUAGGUCUGAAGUGAACUACUCACGAGUCAUUGGAGGGGAGAUGAUGUUGAUGCAGAAGCCUUCCAACUCCAAAGUCCCCUCCGGCAGGGCACCGGGAAGGGUCUCCAGAUGAGAUCUCGCGGAAACGGAAGCUUGCGGCGGCGGAAAAGUAUUUUUUGAUGUAUUUUAGGAAAUAUAUAGGCGAAAGAUCUAGGUCAGGGGGCGCCAGGGAGGCCACAAGCCUGCCCACCGCCGCCCCCUGGUGGCGGAUGGGGGGCUUGUGGGCUCCCUGUAGCCCUCCUGGCUUGGCCCACAAGCCCCCUGAUCAUCUUCAGUUCGGGAAAAAAUCAUUUUGGGGAUUUUAUUCCGUUUGGACUCCGUUCCAAAAUCAGAUCUGAAAAGAACCAAAAACACAGAAAAAACACGAACUGGCACUUGACACUGAAUUAAUAAGUUAGUCCCAAAAAAGAUAUAAAAGGUACAUAAAACAUCCAAAGAUGACAAGAUAACAACAUAAAACCAUAAAAAAUUAUAGAUACGUUUGAGACGUAUCAGUAGACAUCCUGAAAGUUCAUCUGCGCACGAGGCCUCCCUAGGCGCCACGCCACCGCGUCGUACGCACGGGCGACCUCGUGUGAGGUUUCGAAGGUGCCGAGGCUGAGGCGGACGUCGCCAGACCUGAUCUCGGUGUAGUAGACGCCGGAGCGGCGCUCGCGGACGCCGCGGUAGCCCGAGGAUCCACGACGGAGCGGCGGCAUGGUGGGAGAGGGAGCGGCGGAGGGAGCGACGAGGGAGUGGAUCGGAAGCGGCACAGACAGCGGUAGAGGGCGCGUGACUAUGGGUAGCCGCGUGGCGAGCGCCGCAUUUUAUAGGCGCGCUGAAAGCGGUGCGCCAAAUCUAGCGCACGGCCGCCCGCUUUCUCUCGCACACGCAAUAGUUUACCGUGCGCGCUAUUUUCCCGCGUCCGCUUAAGGCGCGAUUUCAUGCCCCGCGCGCGUUUUUUAGCGCCACUGUUGGAGAUGCUCUAAGGCACUUGUCAUUGUAGUUAGGAGUAGCCAAAUAAUUUGUACUUUUUUUGGUAUAAGAGCAUCUCCAACCGCCGCGCUAAAACAACGACGCGCUGCAAAAUCGUCUUUUUAGCGCGCGCACAAUAAAAAAGUUGCUCCAGCAGAGGCUCCAAAACCGCGCGCCCUGCAAAACCAAUUCAGCGCGUGGGCUAAAAUGCCAUGGCGCGUCGUUUAUUUGCUGCGUCCGCGUAGGCGCGCCGCACACUCGAGCGCUCGCUCGCAGCUCCACCUACCCAUCGAGCCGAGGCGUCGCCGCAGCCCGCUCCAUCCCAUUUCUUCCGACGAUCGUUCCGGCGCUUCCCCGGCCUAUCCGUGCGCCGCCGCUGCUUCGUCCUUCUCUCUCUAGUCACCGCCGCCCCUCGCGCGCGGCAGUCGUCCGACGAACAGCGCCCGGGCGCCCGCAAGGUGUUCGACAAAAUGCCCGCAAGGUAUGUACUGGAUUCAACUACACAUUUUUUACAUAAAUUUUAUGCAUGUUGUUUGUAGUUUUAUAGCUUAGUUUAAAUUAAACAUUGUAGGUGAGUUCCUCAUAUGAUUCUUCCGAAGAAGAAUUUGAUGUGGAAGAGGAGGAGGAUCUUGCAAUGAUCCUAACUAGGCACAUAAAUAAAAAGCCGAAGCACGGUGGUUCGGUUAUGGGUCGGCAGAAAAUUUGGAGGGAUAGGAUCGAUGCCCACAAUAGAUUGAUCAAGCACUAUUUUACAGAUAAUCCCGUGUAUCCCGAGUCGUACUUCCGACGUCGAUUUAGGAUGAGUACCGAGUUGUUUAGGUGCAUUGCAGAGAAACUAGCGAGCCAUGAUCGGUUUUUUCAACAAAGAAGAAAUGCCACCGGAGAGCUCAGGCAUAGCACCUUUCAGAAGGUGACAACCGCUUUACAUAUGUUGGCAUACGGUAUCCCCACUGAUCUAGUUGAUGAUCACUUGGCUAUGGGUGAGAGUCAAGCCAGCAUGCGUGUCAAGCGUUUCGCAGUCGGAAUUGUGCAAUUGUUUGGCAGGAGUAUUUGAGAUCUCCCAAUGCUGAAGGCGCUGCAAGGCUAUUGGAUAUGAACAAAGCUCGUGGUUUUCCAUGUAUACUUGUCUCAAUAGAGUGCAUGCAUUAGAGUUGAAAGAAUUAUCCUAAGGCAUGACAUGGGCAAUUCCACGGCCAAAAAAAGGGUUCCGCUAUAAUCCUUUAAGCGCUGACCGAUCAAGAGAUUUGGAUUUGGCAUGCGUUUUUUGGAAUGCGUGGAUCUUUGAAUGACAUCAACGUUGUCAACCGGUCACCACUGAUGAAUAAGAUUGUAAAUGGGGAACUGCCACCGGUGCAGUUUGUAGCAAAUGGUCGUACAUACAACUAUGGCUACUAUCUUGCGGACCACAUCUACCCAAAGUGGCAAACAUUUGUGAACCCGUUGAAAAAAUCGGAAGUAAGAAAAAUCUUGAUUUCCACAAUGCUCAGGCGGCGGCUAGAAAAGAUGUGGAGAGAGUUUUUGGGAUUUUGCAAGCCCAAUUUUUUAUUAUGAGAGGACCGGCUAGAUUUUGGGAUCAAAAGAUGCUUUGGUACAUCAUGUAUGCUUGUGUGAUCAUGCACAACAUGACCAUCGAGAAUGAGCGUGGCCAAGGUUUAGACUACUCUCAGUAUGAGCUCUUAGGACAUCCCGUGCGAGUGCGGCGGAGGGCUGAAAGGGUGGCCCGUUUUGUUGCCUCUUAUCAUGCCAUUCGGCGUCCCGAAACACAUGUUGAUCUUCAGAACGAUCUCAUCAAGGAAUGGUGGGCAUGGAAUGGCCGACAAAGAGCAUCAUGAUUGUGCAUUUGAUGUUAUAUUGUUGAACUAUUUGUUGUAUUUUGAACGAUAAACUAUUUGUUUGAGUUGUAAUAAACUAUUUGUUUGAGUUGUAACAAAAUUGAACUAUUUAUGUUGAUUUAUUUUAUUUGUGUUUGAUUUUUUUGCAUAGUUUUGAAUGCAUAUGUUCUUUGAGCGAUAAUGCGUGCUGCAUUUUAUAGCGUCAGCUGGUGCUAGGCGCGCGUGCUGCAUUUUACAGCGCCUGCUGUAACCAGCAAUGGCCGCCGCGUCAAAACAGACAAAGGGCGCGCCGCAAAUUCAAUUUUAAUGCGCCGCGCGUUGGGCGGCUGUUGGAGAUGCUCUACGGUGUAAAGACAUCGGUAAUCUCCAUGUCCCUUGAAACAAAUAAUGAUAAUUUCUAUGAAUGCCUUCAUAUUAUUUCGCUUGAAACAUGUAAGGAAAAAUGCAAUUGUAUUUUAGUGGUUUUGGUUAAAGUAUGUUAAGAUCUAUAAUGCACUCUUUUCCUCACUAUUUCGCAGCUACACUAUUUAUCCUCUCUAUUUUAGAGGCUUUUCCUGAAGGGAAAGGACCUCUCUCAUAUAUUCUACCCAUAUGUCUGUCUUCAACUACUCUAGGACUAUUCUUCCCACAUGGAUCCUCCUUUUAGAAUGCUUUCUCUCCUCUCCCUCUCUCUAUUGACAAGUACUAUAGCUACUUUACGGUGAGCAUGCUUAUGCAUAUAUAUACACAACCAUCGCCUCUAGACAUGCACUCAGUUCAGUCAAAUACUAUAUAUGUGGCAGGUGAGUAAGAUGUACGUAGAAUAGUACACAUUAGUAGAAAAUGGAUCUUUCGACCAAAGCCGAAAACCACAUUAACUCCGGUUCAAACAAAAACCGGGACCAAUGUCUAGUUCGAUUCAUCUCAUUAGUCUCGAUUCGGGGAAAAACUGGGACUAAAGAUUCAACGACUAUCACGUGGCGUGCCGUGGAGCAUUAGUCCCGGUUUUUGUCAGAACCGAGACUAGUCAUUCAGUUGUUGCUUUAUUCAUUCUCCCUUGUACACGUUAGUCGAUAAUUUGGCAUGGAAGGUAUUAGGAUGCACGAAGGUGCUGGAGGAACGUAUGUUCGAAAACCAACAAAAGUGGUGCUAAGCUCCCUGGAGGCCAUUUCCAUGGCUAAUACAUGGUUAAUUGCCAUGCUGCAAAUCAUCCUGUUCCAUGGUCUUCCUCGCCAUCCGGGCCCACUAGAGCUAUAGCUGCUCCCCGGCGUGGUACAGUGACGCUGCUCCGGAAUACCAGCGCCGCCGAUGCACCCACUUACAUGGCAGCUGCAUGAACCUGGCACUGAUGUAGGUUUUUUGCAUUGUAGUGCUAGGCUGCUAGCUGACUGUGAUGUGUGUGCACAUCAAUUCACUCGUGUACAGCCAAGCUGAGGGCGAUCAGACUUGUCCUUGCGGCUAUUGAUUAAGGUUGGACACUAAAUAACAUUUUUAUAACAUUUAACAUGUAAAAUAGCAUCAUAUUCAUGUACUACACAUUUUUUUAAUCAAAUUUCAUAUAUAACAUGUUAAAAUUGGAUUUAAGGUUUAAAAAAUAUAAAUAUUUUCAACAGGUAUUAUUUGUUCUAGAUGGACUGCAUGUUAAUUAGAGAAAUGAGAUGAGGUUUUCCGCAAAAAGGCAAAAAUGAUUCUUUUUAAAGGUUGGAUGCGAGUUAUUUACCCGAAAAAGAGGAGGAUUUACUGUAAAAGAUGGAAAAAGGGUUCGUUUUGUCACCUAAACGUGAAUGACGGGUUAAUUACCUGAAAAUAGAGGGAAUAUUCUGUAAACAUGUGCGACGUACCACCAGAAGCACUAAUGACUUUAUUAUUAGAUCAAGAUAUCUUUGCAAUAGAACUCAGAUGCUUGGCUGAUGAGCAAUUUUGGAAACAAUGAACAACAAGCUGCGAGGCUUGACCGUACCUUUCUUUUCAAACUAAAAUAAUACUAACAAGCUUUGUAACCGAAAGUACAUGCAACCUAUAGUGCAUUUGUUGUCGUAGUAGUAGCCAAAUAAUUUGUAGUUUGUUUGGUAUACGGUUUAGAUACAAGGGUAAUCUCCAUGUCCCUGCAAGCAAAUAAUGAUAAUUUCUAUGAAUGUCUAUAUAUAAGAAAAAGAGCAAUUGCAUUUUAGUGGUUUUUGGUUAAAGUAUAUAUGUGAAAAUCUAUAAUCCACUCUUUUCCUCACUCUUGUGCAGCUAUACUAUUUAUCCUCUUUUUUUAUAGGGUUUUCCUGAAGGGAAGGGAUCUCUCCCGUUUAUUGUACCCAUUUUUGUCUCUUCAACUACUCUAGGACUAUUCUUCACAUAUGGAUCCUCCUUUUUAUAGACUGCUUUCUCUCCUCCCUAUCUAUUGACAAAUACUAUACCUACUUUACUGUGAGCUUAGAUAUGCAUAUAUACACAGUUACACACAACAUAGUCUGUAGGCAUGCACUCAGUCCAAUCAAAUACUAUAUAUGUGGUAGUUGAGUAAGAUGAGUAUAUGAUAGUAAUCGUUUAGUUGUUGCUUUAUUCAUUCUCCCUUGUACGCGUUAGUCGAUAAUUUGGUAUGGAAGGUAUCAGGAUGCACAAAGGUGCUAGAGAAGCUAGAGGAACUUAUGUCGGAGAACAAACAAAAAUGGUGCUAUGCUGCCUAGAGACCAUUUGCAUGGCUAAUGCAUGGUUAAUUGCCAUGUCCUCACUCACACACUGUUCAAAACCCAAAAACAGAUAUUUCUGUCCUGCUCAACCUUUGGUUUCUAGGACUUAAGGUGCCACGCGGCACCGCCUUCGGACUGGGCUGCAGUUUUUGAGCGGUAACGCUAAGCUUACCGGUGUUAUUGUUACGAGUUAAUUUUACAGCAGGUUGACCAGUCCACUCUUUGUGGCUGCAAAUCUUCCCGUUCCGUGGUCUUCCUUGCCGGCAAGACCAACUUGAUCUGUGCUUCUGGAUACCAUCGCCGCCGACACACCCAUUUACAAUGCAGCUGCGUGAACCAGGACGACCAAGAAGAAGAAUCGAGUUGUGUAGCCUGAGUGCCUGAUAAUGAUGUACUCCCUCCGUCCGAAAAUACUGUUUACAUGAAUGGAUGCAUCUACAUCUAUUUUAGUUCGAAAUACUUUCAUUGUUUCUAAAUGUGUGCGACAAAUAAUUUCGGCGGAGGGCGUAUAUUUUUGGCAUUGCUAGCUGACUGUGCUCUAUGUGCACAACACUUCACUUGUGCAUAUCCAAGCUGAUGGCGUUCAGACUCGUCGUUGCGGCUCUCAUGGCAACACCCACAAUGCUGCGCUACUCACUCAUUGUUAACCAUUAACCAAGCUACUCACUCCACUCAAUGACAACUAAUAUUUGGCUCACGUGAAAUCUUGAUACGGCUGUUGGAAGAGUAAACAGUGGUUGUUCGCACUCACAAACCUGCGGGUGUCUCAAGUUCAUGCCGGUAUAUUCUUUUUUUUCAGAAAAUGCUGGUAUAUUCCUUUUUUUUUAGAAAAUGCCGGUAUAUUCUUAUGUACUGAACAUUUGCAUUUUCGCAUCAUGUAUGCCUACAUUAUGUUACCUUCAUCUAGUAAACAUGCAACAUUACUGUUUCAUGAUCGAUAUCUUGUCACUUUUUGUUAUCAAGGUCUGCAGGUCACAUUUGAGCAUUGCGCACCUUUGAAUACUGGGAGUCAUAAAAGAUUUUUUGUUAGUGAAUGUUGCCAGUACAUUUGCAUUCAUCAAAGGCGCCUUUGUCUAGUUAAUCUUCUUAGGUUAAUGAAUUUGGCUUGAUCGAUUGAUAAGGUAGCACGGCACACAGAAACGAGGGUCGGCCCUAACAUGUGGAACUAAGUUAGUCCCACGUACAAAUUAACAACACAACCUAACAGAUGAAAUUGAGCUAUUUCCUGGUCCUCCCACUGAGAUCUGCCUGGAAUCAGAAGUCCUGUUAUUUUGGUAGCACAGAUCAUGCUCAAUAAAAAAUUGAGGCCCACUACACAAGCCGUUAUAAUAAAUCUGCAAUUUGUGUUGUGCCGUGAUUCAUUCAGUUUUUCAAGGUAACUUUGGAUCAGUCACUUUCCACAUUUAUAAAUUGUGUUGUGCCAUCAUUCAUUCAGUUUUUCAAGGUAUCUUUGGAUCAGUCAAUUUCCACAUUUAUAAUAAAUCUGCAAUUUGUGUUGUGCCGUCAUUCAUACAGUUUUUCAAUGUAACUUUGGAUCAGUCAAUUUCCACAUUUUCUGGAUCUAGUUUCAAAAGCACCGGACAACGUGUUAUAGAUUAUUGGGCUGCAAAAUCCGCACUAAUCUUUUUUUAUCUCAAUACACAUUUGCCUAUAGAACGGACACAUGCCCAAUUUUGUAUGCGCUUUGUAGGUUAUCCAAAUGGUUCCUUGAAUGAACAGGUUGCUCAAACUGAAAAAGAUAUGGAGUUGUCUUGCAUCUUACUCCGUAUUAAGUUCUUGUAACUGGAUAAGAUGAAGAGAUACUUCAUUAUAUUGUCCUCACAGUACACUUGAUCGUGGAUGCUAGUAGCCAGUGGUGUGUUUUUGAAAAUCAAGUAAUUAUCUAUUCCAACGAAAAGUGUCUGGAGUAGCUUUGUUUCCGCGAAAAGUUACCUUGCUGAUUUGAAUUAAUCGUAACAGUUUUAACAUGCUCCCUCCUACUCCUUCUGCUCACAUCAGAGGUAAGAAUAUAUAAUUGAUCUGAACCGUUGGUCUCAUUAAUUAGUGGUCUUAUUUACUCUUACUUUCUUACCUGCACUACAAUUUUAUCUACAGAAAUUUCACGUCCACGAGUAGGGGAAAACUUGCACGUCGACUCUGAGAUAGUUGCAUAUUGACAGCUAGGCAAUUGCACAAAAGAGGGAGUAAAUUGCAUACACAAAAAAUCGUCGAAACAUACUCAUGAGGGAUCUACUUUCGAAGAGCGCGUCGUGAGGAUUUCAACGGUAAAAACGGCUCUGAAUUUUGAUGAUCGGUUCAAAAGUAAUGGCUUUUGAAAAUUUCUAAAUCCAAAUUAAAUGCGUUCACACAUGUUCUCAUGGAUACCUUCUUACUUUUCUCCUGUCCACGUAAGGGCAUAUACAAUGCAUAGCCUCAAGGUGAUGUCCUGUAUGCCAUGUAGAAUCGGAUGUCAGAAAAAGUAGGUUCGGACAAGGAAACGGGAUCCUAUGCAGGAGACGGGUGCUUGAAGCAAAAAAGUGUGGUUCGGUGUAAAAAACUGAAAAAGUUAGAGUAAAAGUAGGAUGCAUGUGUAUUAAAAUCUUUAUUUUUUAUUUUUUGACAAGGCAAUCUGAUGGUAGCUUGCAUUGGAGAAAAAAAGUCAAUAUAUAUACUUCAAGCUACUUUUUAUCAUGAGGCAUAUGUAUUCAUAUGUCAUCAUUAUACAUGCCCUAAUACUUUUUCUGAUGUGGAUAAUGGGAGACAAAAAGUCUCCAUAUACGGCCGGCCACUCUGAAUUUCUAACAAGCCUACGAUCAUGCGUUAGACGUGUCCAUAGAUCCUUGUCCUUGAUCUCAUUAAUUAGUGGUCUUAUUUACUCUUAGCUUCUUACCUGCACUACAAUUUUAUCUACAUAAGUUUCAUCAUGUCGAAGACAGUCCUUAAGUCUAAUGCCCCGUCCGGGCACAUUAUAACCAAAAUGCAUGUGAUGGCUAGAACCACAACAAAUCAAUGGACCGUAUUUCCGUGCACAUUUCGUUUCGUCCCUAAGGAUGAACCAAAAGGCAGUGCUGGACAGUUGACCCACCCUGCACAUGGGGCUUGCAUGUCUCCAUGAUCUCCUAUACUCUGGUAAGCUUUUCUAUUCAUGUAGAAAACCAAUCAUUGGAAAGAAAAUGAAUAUAACAGACAAAUGCUUGGUUUUUAGCUUAUCCUGUCUGCAUCAACCGUCAACAUGGGAUAGAAUACGCUGGUUCCAAAGAGGUGGCCAGUGAUAAUGUUGCUAACUAGAGAUGGUAAUGUGCUUCCGCACUAGUUGAAAAUGACUGCCCAAAAGCCCCAAGUGGAAAGGCGAAAGCUCCAAGAGCUUUAAUACGAAAUCAAACACGCAGCGGCGUUUCCUUGACGCGAUAAGGUGUCGAGUCUGUCUAUCAGGAAUUGUUGCUUAUUCCGAAAGGCCGGCCGUUGAAUUGAUCAUGCUAUUAUGGGUCUAUAUAAUACUACUCCAUGUUCUUGCUCUAUUGGGGAAAGGCAUGUAUCCGUCCUUUGGCUCAAUGUUGAGCCGUUUGACUUUGGUUCGCCGAACAAGUUUGAAGAAUUAACGACCGAGUCAUCUGCCGCGUCGGCUUGCUAUUUUCUUCUUUUGGAGUUUCCAAUCACCACUACACGUCUACAUGUACCAGACGCAGGUGACCGGGCGGACCCUGGAACGUUGCCGCUGACCAGUAGCGCUCGAUGGCCACCAGACACGCGAUCAGCAGGCCUGCCCACCGCUGCGCGGCAGUUUCCCGGCCUCCGUUGCCGGCGCGUGCGCGUGGACGACACGGCCGGCAAUGCCAUGCAUGCCCGUGUGUGCAUUCGCGAACCGCGUAGACACGGCUGGCAAUAACUAAUGAUUCGCGUCUACGCUGUUGACACCAUUUGCGUUGUUGGCAAACGUUGAUUAACCAUCUUUUGCGUCCUCCUGUUCACAUCGGUGAUUUCGUCCCGAGGGCUGCGUAGCUGUGGGCCUCCCUGGCGUCUCCUCCUUGUCGGGCGUUCGCAUCGCCGGACAGGGCUCGAGGUAGGUGGCGACUCGGAUCUGGGUUCCGACGGCUUUGUCGCAAGCAGCUAUGACGGAUGGGGAUGGGGCCUCUAGCUAGGGCUGCAGCUGCCAAGGCGGCGACAGUAGCGGUGGUGAUGGCUCAUAUGCGACAGGUCACAGGGUUUUCCAUUGGCACGGCCGUGCUCGAUCACGUUCGUGGUCGGGCCCUCUUUGUUGUUCAAUACUGUACAAUGUCCAUAUGAGUUGCCUAUCGUGAUUAUCUGACUAUGAUGAGUUUUUUUUUUUUUUGAGUUCAUAUUGUGUUGAUACCUCAUGAAGUUUCACGUAUAGAUGCAUCAUUGUCUGAACUUAUUUAUCUUCUAUUGACAAAUUAAAUGGAUAAUCAAUAGUGGAGAGCGUGUGCAUUAGUUGGAUUCAAUCUUAUGAAUAAUCUACCGUGGUGAAAGUUACUGAAAAAGGCAUGAUUUGUAUUUGCCACUAAAAAUGACUGUUUGUUUGAGGCGUUUUGAAUCUUUUUUGGGCUCUCUGAGGCCUUUAAUAAAAUUAGGCAAUCAACAAUUUGUUGAAUUAUNCAAUUGCUUAAGAAAACUAUUCAUAUUAUAAUUAAUACUAGUACUAGUAGAAAAAUGUCCAUUUGUCCCGGUUCCAGAGGCCCAUUAGCCCCGAUUCUCGAACCGGGACUAAAGGGUCGGGACUAAAGGCCCAAACCUUUAGUCCCGGUUGGCUUACGAACCGGGCCCAAAGGGUCUCCACGUGGUCGCUCCGGGGAGCCCAGGUAGGAGGGCCUUUAGUCCCGCUUGUUCACACCAACCGGGACCAAAUGGCAUCCACACGUCAGCAUGUGGCCGCAGCUGGGUUUUUUUUUUGAAUGGGGGGUUGGUUUUUUUUGGAGAGUUAAUUUAACGGUUUCAUAUUAUGUUAGCUACCUAAUAGAGAGAAGUGUCCACUACUAGGGAAAAGCCUAGCAGUAGCGCGGGUUACCGCGCUACUAGUAAGGCGCUAUAACUAUUACUUACGCGCUACUGCUAAUUAGACAUAUAGUUGUACCGUGUAUUAUAUCAGCGCUACAGAUAAGACAACUAUUAGUAGCGUUCUUGCAAACCCGCGCUACUAGUAAUCUGUUUUUCAUUAUUAUUAUUUUUAGUGUAUUUAUACGUCGUUAUACAAAUUUUGAUACAGUACCAAUUAAAAGGUUGUUAUAUCAUUAUGUUCAUCAUGAAUUAUUAUAUCAUUGUAAGGAAGAAAGAUGGAUUUUAUUCAUCCAAAUGAAUCAAAAGUGAUCAAAAGUUGAACGAUCCUACUAAUUCAAAUUUUGGACACUUUCGAUCCAUCCACAUGAAUCUAAUCCGCUUUUCUUCCCCUAAUGAUAUAAUAACCAAUCAUGAUCAUAAUAACAAAUCAUCAUGAUAAUCAUGAUCAACAUCAUCAUCAUAUUAAUAUAAAAACUCUUGCAUCACUAUAGCUAACAAUCAUCAUAGUCAUUACCACCAACACUAUUUAAUCAUCAUUUUCGUCAAUGAGACAUCAUAUAACAAAAGUUGGCCACUAGUCAUAAUCACAACUCCUCCUCCUCAUCAUCAUCAACUAUAACACAUUGUAGCACAUAAUAUAUAACACAUUGUACCUAGGAUCUACUCAUCUCUCAUAGGACCUACUCUACCCUCUCUUAGGUAGAAUAUCAUAAAACAAGAUAGGCUCUGACUCUUCAUUAUGGAGAAUAGAGAUCAUCUUGUCUCCAAUUCUUGGCAUACGCACAAUGUUGCUUCCAAGUAGCUCUCUACGAUUGACCAUACAUUUUUUCAAUAUUUGAUUGUCAUUUCAUCGGUUUUAGAAAUCCGGUAUGGACAUGAGUGAUGCAGAUACCUAGGCUGACCUGACCGUGCUGGCCGUAUGCUCAUAACAUCAACGCGACCUCUUGAAAACAUCAGAUGAGGCCCACAAUCAUGCGGGAUUUUCUGUUGAAAAACAUAGUAAUAACUUUGUUAGCUAGCAAUGUAGUUUAGUUUUACACGAAUUUAUGCAAAAGAUGCACGGAUGUCGUAAUAGUAGAAAAACUUACCAUGCAAUCUCCAUGCAUGUUAUCGUAGUUCACCACGUGCACUAGUGGUACGUAGUGACCAUAAUGUGGAGGAUUUUGCUGAUAGGUAUUGUAAUUCUCAAGAUCAUUGAUAAAUGUGACAAGAUGAUGUUUCUCCUUACAAGUUAAUUGUGCUUCAUCAUUGUAGUAAUAGGUUCUGUCUACCAUCUUCCGUACAUUUUUUGAAGAUUGAAAUUAAGCUGCCAAUGGAAAUAAGUUGUCAACUAUUUUUAAAUAAACAAUAUAAAUUACUUAAUAAAUAUGGUUGAGAAACUUACAUAAUGAUAGAACUGGAGGCGUCCGCACAUCGACCUAGAUAUCGGUAUUACCUUCAAUUUCAUCUUCCGGACGAAUAUCAAAGGUGAUAAGCAUGUUAGGCUCAAAUACAUAAGCCUUGCAUAACGUAUAGAUGCAUUAUUGUCUGAACAUAUUUAUCUUCUAUUGCCAAAUUAAAUGGAUAAUCAAUAGUGGGAGAGCAUGUGCAUUAGUUGGAUUCAAUCUUAUGAAUAAUCUACCAUGGUGAAAGUUACUGGAAAAGGCAUGAUUUGUAUUUGCCACUAAAAAUGACUGUUUGUCUGAGGCGUUUUAAAACUUUUUAGGGGUGUAUGAGGCCUUUAAUAAAAUUAGGCUAUCGACAAUUUGUUGAAUUAUGGGGUGGGCUUUAGUAGGGGGUGGGGGUGGGGAGGGGGGCUUGAAGUUUAGUCCCACCCUAGUCGAGAAGGAGUUGGACAUUCUUAUAAGGCUUCUCUUCCACAUGCUAUUGAAGCUUGAGAAGAGAAGUGGUCCGCGCAUACUCCGCCGCCUCCGAGCCGCGGGUUGCGUCGUCGUUAUCGUCAUCAUGGCCACCGACGCCGAUCAUGCCGCCACCGAGAAACUCGAAGCCGGCAAGAAGGCUGCCUCUACCAUUGCUACGGCCAACUGGCCGACUAGAGGGUAUACCACGUUUAUCCCGCUUCUGUUUAUUUUGGUUUUAGCCAUACUGACGUUAUACAUAGAUGUAUCUGUUGUUAGCGUAGUGUGUGCUUGCAUGAUCAAAUAUCAGCAUGCUUUUAACCCUGUUGGUGUCAUGCUCAUCACUAUUUCAUGGGUUAAAUUAAUCAAGAAAUUACUAUUAUAUUCAACACAAUUGCUUAAGAAAACCAUUCAUUUUAUAAUUAAUACUAGGAUGAUGCUGAGAGAAUCUUGGUCGAAUGACGGGUCUAUAGAUUUAUGGCUAUGACCCGUGAUUUCUUCUAUUGACCAAGACCAUCCCAUGCCUUAGUGUUGUUGGGGGCACUAGUAGAGUUUUAUUUGUAUUAUUGUAGAACUUAACAUUGUUGUACGAGACUUGUGCCUCCGGGGAUUGCUAGUUUGGUUUUUCACUAAGAAGAAUUACUACUGCUUGCUACAAGCAUUUGCACUAGAGGACCAGCUAGUUUUUAGGGUACAACCUAGCAAUCAUCACUCGUGAAGGUAGGAUGCUGCCUGACGAGCGCCACAACUUCAUUUGUGUGACUCAAACUCCGGAGCGACCCUAGAACACACCCGUCACCCCUACGUUGGUGGUCAUGACCCUUGUGGCCAAGGCAUCUCCUCGCUCGACUGUGCCUCACUCAGCGCCUUCCUUAGCACUAUUCUUGAUAGAUGCUCUGCGUGAUGAGGACAUGGCCGUGCCUGCAACCAUGAAGGGCAAACGAUCGAAGGUAUCACCUUCUUCUCCAUGUAGUACAAGCUCUGGGACCAGUGAUGCAAUGGGUGAUCUCACAACUAUGGAAAAGACACACCUCUAACCAUGGCGAGGAACUUGGAAAACACAUGUAAUCGGCGGCCUGUUUUUUUUAAUCUUGAACGCAUAUUCUAUUGAAUACUUUGUUUUGAAGCAUGAAUAGUAGGGGAAGACCUACUAUAUUUUUCUAUUAAAUAAUCUAAGGGAAAAUUUGUACAAGAAUGACAUCAUUUACAAGGAAGAUUUCAAUCUCCAAAGAAGAUGAAAACAUUAAUUCAACAUCACAUAUGGUGGAUAAACAUGAAAGUAGUCGAUCUUGGUCAAAAAGCUUAACUCUAUGGGCAGCCAGACACAUGUUAUUCAUAAAAAGAGAGAAACAAUAAGCCAUUGGGUGGCUGCUUGGGUGUAUGUUGUUCCCAAAUAUUCCUAAGAACUAACGAAGUAAUCUGCAUAAGGCAAGCCCCACCAAAAAGGCUAUUAGAAUUUAGAAACAUAGAGCAUGGUGUAGACCAUCAUUGGAGGUCCAAGAAAUCCCUACACGGCCCCAACAGUAUUCCAGGCAAAUCUACAAUUGAAGAACAAAUGUUCUCUGUUUUCCCAAAGAUUUGCAUGUCAAAGAACCGAUUAUGAUGAACACUUAGGGAUAGCCUGCCCUUUUGGAUCUUUUUAUCUGGGGUAUACUAGUAAAUGUGAAUGUGCACUGCAUAUUCAUAUUUGAAGAAUAUCUUUUAGAGAUAUUUGAUAGAAUAUUAAUUACAUUUUGAUAUUAUAUAUAAAUAUAUAUCAAUUGCACCAUAAUUAUGGGAUUUUUUGCGGAUAUUGAUAUUUUGUAUAAUAUUAAUUGCAUGUUUAACAUCUUGAGAUCUCACCAUUUAAGCAAUUUAGGUCAUUCGAAUGACAUGAAUUGAUGGCGAGAUUAAUUUGAUAUGCACACUAAGUAUUUUUAUCUUGGUAUACUAGUAAAUGUGGACGUGCAAUGCACGUUCAUAUUUGGAAAAUAUAUUUCUAGAGAUAUUUGGUAGAAUAUUAAUUGCAAGUUGGUAUAAGGUUAUAUAUUAGUUGCACGUUAAAUUAUUGAUUUUUCUUUAAUAUUGAUAGUUAGUAUAAUAUUUAUUGCAUGUUAAAUAUAUUGAGCGCUCACCUCUCUGAAGCAAUUUAGGCCAUUUGGUCCAUGUGAUUUUAUUUCCGAGAUUACUUGGAUCUGCCUCUUUGGAUCUUUUAUUUGGGCAUAAUAGUAAACGCGGAUAUGCAAUGCACAUUCGUAUUUGGAAAAUAUAGUUUUAAAUAUAUUUGGUAGACUAUUAAUCGCACGUUGAUAUAAGGUUAUGUAUUUGUUAUGCGAUAAAUUAUGUAAUUUUCACUGAUAUUGAUAUUUUUUAUAAUAUUUAUUGCAUGUUAAACAUGUUGAGCGCUCGCCUUUGAACCAAUUUAGGUUGUUGAGUCCACAUGAUUUGAUGACCGAGAUUACUUGGAUCUGCCUCUUUCGAUCUUUUUUCCUGGUUAUACUACCUAGUAAAUGUGUUCAUUUUUGUUGAAUAUUUUCUUAGAUAUAUUUUGUAAAAUAUUAAUUGCACAUUGAUAUUAGGUAAUAUAAUAAUUGCAUGCAAAUUGUGGAAUUUUCACAUAUAUUAAUAUUUUGUAUAAUAAUUAUUGCGUGCUUAAUUUAGGUCGCUGGAUAGACGUAAAUUAAUGGCCGAGAUUACUUUGAUCUGUUCCUUUUAGUCUUUUUUAUCUUGCAUGCUAGUAAAUUCAUACGUGCAAUGCACAUUCAUAUUUGGAGAAUAUAUUUUUACACAUAUUUGGUAGAAUAUUAAUUGCACUAUGUUAUUAGGUAGCAUAUUAAUUACACGAUAAUUAUGAGAUUUUGGUUGAUACCGAUAUUUUGUAUAAUAUUAAUUGAAUGUUUAAUUGCGUCAUAGUUAUGGGAUUAUUCUGAUAUUGGUAUUUGCUCUACUAUUUAUUGCGUGUUAAACAUAUUAAGGACUCGCCAUUGAAGCAAUCCUAGAGUGUUUACUUGGAUGGCCACGAACUUAUGGCCGAGAAUAUUUCAAUAUGCCCCUUUGGGUCUUUUUUAUUGGUACAAUGGUAUAGGCAUAGAAAGAUAGAUGCAGCGACUAUUAUAGACUCUUUUUUCAUCCCUCAAAUUUUACAAAUUAAGAAAGGGAAAUGAUUAGUAUCUACCAGCGGAUUGCUUCUAGGCGUCAACUGCCUCAAUCGUCUACCACGUGUCCACCUUACACCUUUCUUGGAAACGACUUCAUCUUAUCCAAGAACAUGAAAAGGAUUCAAAUUUCUGCAACAACAUCUUAGUUGUAGAAUAAUUCUGCAGCAAAACCUUUGUUGCAAAAUGUUUCUGCAAAUUUUCUGACAUCUGUAAAGUUUCUUCGACAAGAUUGUUGUUGCAAGAAAAAAAUUGUACCAAGACCUUUGUUGCAAUAAAAAAAAUCCGCAACUUGAUAUAUGUCGUAAAAAAUUCUGUAACAUGACCCGUGUUUCCGCAACUCAACCUAUGUUGCAGUAGUACAUGAUGACGCCUGGCCACUCGAUUCGUAAAAUCCAACGACUUAGGUGGUGGCGGAUCUUUUUAAAUAAUCCACCGGCUGAAGCAUAACAGCUCCCACAUUAAGAAAGGCAUCAUCCUUGCGGAUAAACUUGGAAAGAAAUUAUAGUGUACCGAACGUAAAUGGACGAAGAAUAAACACUCUAAUCAAUAGUUAUAAAUCCUAGAGCGUUUAGCUUUCUAUUUUCGCGACCCUCAAAAAAAUUGUACUCUACUAAGUACUUCUCCAUAUUUUAUGGUAGUCAGAAAUGUACCCACGGUUGAUCAGCGGCUAGGAUCAAUUCAAAAUAUGCAUGCGGGUGCAUCUCAAAACUUCCGAAACCACACAAGCCCACCCCACACGUACGGCCACACCGUUGCGUAUUCUUUGUGUCUAUCUCCUUUUCCGUGCGCGCUCCAACUCUGCCGUCCGUCCCUGCCUGCCCCCAGUUCUCCACCGUCUCCUCUUCUCACCUCCAAAGAAAGGUCCGGUGGUCGCCAUCAACUCACGGCCGGGGGCGCUUAAUAUAAUCCGAUCAAACAGGAGUAUGCUAAAAGAGAAAGAAGAAACGGCGAUCGGGCACGAAACCAGCAGCCCCACUCCUUUCACGUGGCGUCAUCUCUCUUUGACCGCUACCAAUCCAGGGAGACGCCAUUUCCAAACAAAGUAUACCAGCGGAGACGCGGGGGCCGCCCCUACGCCUCAUCCCCUCCCCUCCCCUCCCCGGUUGCUAUAUAAGGUCCGUCCUCCUCCUCCUCCCGAUUUCAGAAGCCCACCCAACAUCUAACUAUCCUCCCCCACCCUCCACCAAGUUUCGUCUCUUUCAUCCACACCUCCUCCUGCUCGAGAUGGACCCCGUCGAGCGCCUCAGGACCGGCUUCGAGAAGUUCAAGACCGAGGUCUACGAGUAAGUAUUCCCAUCGUCCCGCCGCUAACCGGAACAAACCCUCCUCCUCGAUCAUGAUUUGGUCCGGUUUCCUUGAGGUUAUCUAUUUCAGUCAUCUUAACAUGAUUAUUCUCUCGCCAUGGCAGCCAGAAGCCGGAUCUCUUCGAGCCCCUCAAGGCCCACCAGUCACCCAAGGUAUACACAAAAGGAUUUCGAUUUCGUUUUUAGAUUUUUAUCGGGCCCGAACGAAAUGGACGAAAUCCGGUAUUUCGGAAAUUUUUCGGAAAAACUCGGACGAAAAGCACGAAACAAAAUUCGGAAUUUAGAACGAAAAAUGGCCGAAAUUUCUUCAAAAAGAAUUGAACGAAGCAAAACCAAAACGCACAGCAGAAUCCGAAUCACAUCUUACAAGAUGGGUCAUUCAUUGUCAACAAGCACAAAAAUAAGAUAGAAAGGAGGCCUUUCCAAGCAUGUGGUGCUUCAGCUUCAACGCUGCCUGGGCCAAGCAUUCACCUUUUUGCGGUCACGCUCCCUGCCUGGAACGAGGAGGAGCAUGGAACGAUGUGGAUGGGAAGUACGGGACCGAGGAGAAGGAUGUGGACUGCCGGUGGAGAAGGAUGGGAGGAGGCGGCGCUUCCAUGACACCUGCGUCUUGUGUCGCCAGCGGCCGCCGCCGGGCAGUAACGAGGAGUGGAGGGCCGAAUGGUUAAAAUUUAGGGUUGGAAACAUUCGAUGGAGAGUUUUAUACCAUGGGGCAGAUGUGCGACCACAGGUGGACCAUGGGCCGGGCUAGGAACUCAAAAUGGGCCGAAAUUUUUGCCCCGUUCAUAUUUGUACCGGGCAUGGACGAGAUGGACGAAUUCCGGACGAAAAAUAGAAAUCUCGGACGAAAUCCAAAACCGUGGCCUUCUAUUGCUAGCUAGCAACCAACUCCGGUCCCUUGUUCCGCCGUUCGGCGUCCGGUCCGGGGCAAACUCCGCCGCGGGUUUGCGGUGGGGGUGCCCGUAUAGCAUUUCGUGUUAAUUACGGUCAAAGUGGAGUGGAUUAAGAAAUGGAAACGGCUGCUUUGUCCUCAUUGAACGGGCCACUGCCUGCCGGCCACUUGAUACUAGGUUAUGCACUGGUAAACCAACAACCAAGAGGGGCAAUCAAUCAAUCCUCCUAGUAUGAAAUAUAAUCGUGGAUUCCCUUACCAAUUAACCACCACAUGUCAUGCGCAUCCAAGAAAUCGGAUCAUGCUUGCUGUGGUAACCCCGCCCAUGUGUGUGUGUUGUCGUGAUAUAUGAUUUGGCUUAUUGAGAUGUCCCGGUCCUUAUCUCUUUGUGGUCUUGUGGACGAUGAUGGGUAUAAAGAAAGAAUAUUGUUCUUUCUUUCUUUCCUGCUUUUCCUGCUUUCUUGUUGGAUAACUUUGAUGUUAAGAAUCUUGCAACUAGUACAAGAAGAGGCAUUUUUGUCCCUCUCUUUGAGAUUCUCCAUUGGCGUGCCUGAUAAUGCCGUGUUGGGUUGUUGAGGCCCCCUUGUUAAAAAACCGGACCAACAACCUGUCCGUGUUGAAUUUCAGGUCCCAGGCGUCUCAUAUUUUCUCCUUAGAAAAUAGCCGCCACUCUGAACUAUCACAUUUGAGCAUAUACAUAUUUUGAUAACGAUGUCCAUUAUGGAGCCUUCACCAUCUUGGCACCGGCCACGUCAGACCCCACACACAAGAACCGUGAACAGGGAAUAAAGCCAUCCAUGGCUUUGGCCCUGCCGCUCUGCAUAUAUACAUAAUUAAGCAGGCCUGCCGAACUAUGGAAGUGCUAUCAAUCUUUGGAGCAACUUGCAGACUGUGGUGGUCCUGUCUUCCAUUCUAGAUUCUAGAUAACUCGCAAAAAGUCAUGGCGAAUACAUGAUCAAGUCCUUUGUUGGGUCUACUUUCACGGGUCAUCAUCAAGUCUUCAUUAGGUUUUUUGGUCUGGGCCAGCAACGGAGGAACCUUGCCGCCACUUGCUUUGCUUGGCUUUCUGUCUUUUCGGUUCCUUGUCGCAAAAGCAAGAUUUAUUUCUGGUUUUCUCCCGCCGUGCUGGAUAAAAAGCGCGCCGGGACAGAAUGUCAAGAGUGAUAGGGUUUCUUGGCAAGAUGUCUCAGAAACGUGCACUCCACAUAUCACGCUAUCAGCAUAUUGUGCUUAUUCAUUUGUUCUACCCGGAUGGCCAAAGCAGUCAAAGCCUGAAUAGAACUGCGUUUGCUUAUCACCAACAACUAUGAAACGUCAUCGACUAAAGCAAAAAAACAAUAUGGUUGUGCAGUACAUGGUGUUCGCGUGCGCCGACUCACGCGUGUGCCCGUCGGUGACCCUGGGCCUGGAGCCCGGCGAGGCCUUCAUGGUCCGCAACAUCGCUGCCAUGGUCCCUUGCUACUGCAAGAACAAGCACACCGGCGUCGGGUCGGCCAUCGAGUACGCCGUCUGCGCCCUCAAGGUCGAGGUCAUCGUGGUGAUCGGCCACAGCCGGUGCGGCGGGAUCAAGGCCCUGCUCAACCUCAAGGAUGGCGCCGACGACACAUUGUAAGUUGGUGGAGGAAAACACGUUUCCAAUCCGAAUGGAGUUUUAUUUCGUAUGUUUCUGACCGGAGCUGCUUAUGUAUCAGCCACUUCGUCGAGGACUGGGUCAGGAUUGGCUUCCCGGCCAGGAAGAAGGUGAAGGACGAGUGCUCCGAGAUGCCAUUCGAGGACCAGUGCGGCGUCCUGGAGAAGGUUCGCACCAUUUCCCAUCUACCAUUUCGUACUUUGGACGUGAAUGAAUUGAUCAACUCGCUGACCAAGAGACGAUAUAUUUCUGAACCGUUCGUUGCAUUCCCACAGGAGGCCGUCAACGUGUCCCUCCAGAACCUCAGCACCUACCCGUUCGUCAAGGAGGGUGUGGCCAACGGAACCCUCAAGCUGGUCGGCGGCCACUACGACUUCGUCUCCGGCAAGUUCGACACAUGGGAGCUGUAAAUCAAUCNNNNNNNNNNNNNNNNNNNNNNNNNNNNNNNNNNNNNNNNNNNNNNNNNNNNNNNNNNNNNNNNNNNNNNNNNNNNNNNNNNNNNNNNNNNNNNNNNNNNNNNNNNNNNNNNNNNNNNNNNNNNNNNNNNNNNNNNNNNNNNNNNNNNNCAUUGCUCAAAUCCCAAAUAUACAUCCAUACAUGCGCACAUAUAUCAUAUCAAAGAUACCGUGGGAAUGAUGCAUCGAUGUAAACGACAUGGACCAUGCACUGCUCGUUAUUUUCCAGCAGUUGUGGACGCCGGAUGGCUAGAUGUCAAUUUUUUUGUAAUAAGGUAUCAAAUCUUCCGAUCCGGAAUUAUUGUACAAAUAUUACCGUGUGUGAUGUAUAAUUUGAUCGGCAUGUGAUCAAAAUACAUCAGAUGCAAUUUCAAUAAUAUUUCCAUCAACAGUUUACCUU